This 1386-nucleotide ribosomal RNA is filed under the name uncultured bacterium. RNAcentral's name for it is "bacterial SSU rRNA". It matches the Rfam family "Bacterial small subunit ribosomal RNA". The record is from RNAcentral.
AGAGUUUGAUCCUGGCUCAGGACGAACGCUGGCGGCGUGCCUAACACAUGCAAGUCGAACGAAGCUUGACGAAUGAUUUCUUCGGAAUGAAAUCUGAUAUGACUGAGUGGCGGACGGGUGAGUAACGCGUGAGCAACCUGCCCUUCGGAACGGGAUAGUGUCUGGAAACGGACAGUAAUACCGUAUAACGUAUUUUUACCGCAUGAUAGAAAUACCAAAACUGAGGUGCCGAAGGAUGGGCUCGCGUCUGAUUAGAUAGUUGGUGGGGUAACGGCCUACCAAGUCGACGAUCAGUAGCCGGACUGAGAGGUUGAACGGCCACAUUGGGACUGAGACACGGCCCAGACUCCUACGGGAGGCAGCAGUGGGGAAUAUUGCACAAUGGGGGAAACCCUGAUGCAGCAACGCCGCGUGAAGGAAGACGGUUUUCGGAUUGUAAACUUCUGUUCUUAGUGAAGAAUAAUGACGGUAGCUAAGGAGCAAGCCACGGCUAACUACGUGCCAGCAGCCGCGGUAAUACGUAGGUGGCAAGCGUUGUCCGGAAUUACUGGGUGUAAAGGGAGCGUAGGCGGGAUGCCAAGUCAGCUGUGAAAACUAUGGGCUUAACCCGUAGACUGCAGUUGAAACUGGUAUUCUUGAGUGAAGUAGAGGUUGGCGGAAUUCCGAGUGUAGCGGUGAAAUGCGUAGAUAUUCGGAGGAACACCGGUGGCGAAGGCGGCCAACUGGGCUUUAACUGACGCUGAGGCUCGAAAGUGUGGGGAGCAAACAGGAUUAGAUACCCUGGUAGUCCACACUGUAAACGAUGAUUACUAGGUGUUGGAGGAUUGACCCCUUCAGUGCCGCAGUUAACACAAUAAGUAAUCCACCUGGGGAGUACGACCGCAAGGUUGAAACUCAAAGGAAAUUGACGGGGGCCCGCACAAGCAGUGGAGUAUGUGGUUUAAUUCGACGCAACGCGAAGAACCUUACCAAGUCUUGACAUCCUGCGACGCACAUAGAAAUAUGUGUUUCCUUCGGGACGCAGAGACAGGUGGUGCAUGGUUGUCGUCAGCUCGUGUCGUGAGAUGUUGGGUUAAGUCCCGCAACGAGCGCAACCCUUAUGGUCAGUUACUACGCAAGAGGACUCUGGCCAGACUGCCGUUGACAAAACGGAGGAAGGUGGGGAUGACGUCAAAUCAUCAUGCCCUUUAUGACUUGGGCUACACACGUACUACAAUGGCGUUAAACAAAGAGAAGCAAGACCGCGAGGUGGAGCAAAACUCAGAAACAACGUCCCAGUUCGGACUGCAGGCUGCAACUCGCCUGCACGAAGUCGGAAUUGCUAGUAAUCGCAGAUCAGCAUGCUGCGGUGAAUACGUUCCCGGGCCUUGUACUCACCGCCCGUCA